This 355-nucleotide RNase P RNA is filed under the name Pseudoflavonifractor phocaeensis. Its description in RNAcentral is "RNase P RNA component class A". It matches the Rfam family "Bacterial RNase P class A". Rfam says of the family: Ribonuclease P (RNase P) is a ubiquitous endoribonuclease, found in archaea, bacteria and eukarya as well as chloroplasts and mitochondria. Its best characterised activity is the generation of mature 5'-ends of tRNAs by cleaving the 5'-leader elements of precursor-tRNAs. Lineage: Bacteria; Bacillati; Bacillota; Clostridia; Eubacteriales; Oscillospiraceae. The record is from RNAcentral.
CAAGUAGGCUGGACAGCCGCGCCCACUGGCCCAACGGCCUUUGGGUGAGGAAAGUCCGGGCUCCGCAGGGCAAGGAUAACGGGUAACACCCGCCGGGGGCGACCCUAGGAAAAGUGCAACAGAAAUAGACUACCGGCCUGGUUUCCGGGCCGGAAAAGGUGGAAAGGUGAGGUAAGAGCUCACCCGACGGCGUGGAAGCGUCCGUCGCUGUAAACUCUAUCCGGAGCAACGCCGUGGAGGGACAGAUGGUCGGCCCGACCGUCCCGGGGAGGCGGCUGGAGCGUACCGGCAACGGUGCGUCGAGAUAGAUGGCUGUCUUAAAGGACAGAACCCGGCUUACAGGCCUGCUUGUACC